UGGGGAAUUUUGGACAAUGGGGGAAACCCUGAUCCAGCCAUCCCGCGUGUGCGAUGAAGGCCUUCGGGUUGUAGAGCACUUUUGGCAGGAAAGAAACGUCAUGGGUUAAUACCCCGUGAAACUGACGGUACCUGCAGAAUAAGCACCGGCUAACUACGUGCCAGCAGCCGCGGUAAUACGUAGGGUGCAAGCGUUAAUCGGAAUUACUGGGCGUAAAGCGUGCGCAGGCGGUUCGGAAAGAAAGAUGUGAAAUCCCAGAGCUCAACUUUGGAACUGCAUUUUUAACUACCGGGCUAGAGUGUGUCAGAGGGAGGUGGAAUUCCGCGUGUAGCAGUGAAAUGCGUAGAUAUGCGGAGGAACACCGAUGGCGAAGGCAGCCUCCUGGGAUAACACUGACGCUCAUGCACGAAAGCGUGGGGAGCAAACAGG
RNAcentral lists this ribosomal RNA (429 nucleotides) under Acidobacteriota bacterium. RNAcentral's name for it is "Acidobacteria bacterium partial 16S ribosomal RNA". It matches the Rfam family "Bacterial small subunit ribosomal RNA", at positions 355 to 776 of the family's 1533-position model. Lineage: Bacteria; Pseudomonadati; Acidobacteriota. The record is from RNAcentral.